CACCGCGGUUAUACGAGAGACCCAAGUUGAUAGACACCGGCGUAAAGAGUGGUUAAGAUAGACUAGACACUAAAGCCGAACACCCUCAGAGCUGUUAUACGCAUCCGAAGGUAAGAAGCUCAACCACGAAAGUGGCUUUACACCAUCUGACCCCACGAAAGCUAAGGCA
Molecule: ribosomal RNA, 169 nt
Filed under: Etelis carbunculus (ruby snapper)
Lineage: Eukaryota; Metazoa; Chordata; Actinopteri; Lutjaniformes; Lutjanidae
Description: partial 12S rRNA
Source: RNAcentral